This 1980-nucleotide long non-coding RNA is filed under the name Daucus carota (carrot). RNAcentral describes it as "long non-coding RNA (DCAR_LNC006011)". The record is from RNAcentral. Lineage: Eukaryota; Viridiplantae; Streptophyta; Magnoliopsida; Apiales; Apiaceae.
UUGGGGGAGGCAUAGAUGAGUAAGAUAACUUUACAGGUAUUAGACUUGUUGAGAGGUGACUAAAACAAAUCUCUACAGGCUAGGCGCAAAACGGGCAAUAUCAUGCUAUCUUAUCCUUCUACCAGAAGGGAAACUGCAAUUGGAUGCCGAGAAUUACUCUGCUGAAUAUGUCAGCGUUGUUAUCAAUUUAGAAUAUCUGGUUUCCAGCGGUUUCUAUUUAUGGUGCUGAAUGAUUCGAGAGGGAAGCAAAUUCCUAUCAGGAGUUAAUAUUUUGUGUAAAUAAUAUUCGAUAUACUUGAACCGGAAGGGUAUCCACUUUUUACAAAUGGGAAAGUUUGUGUUUUCUUAAAGUUAGGUGUUGAUUUCCAUCUUCUGUAAUGAAUGUAUCUCAUGUAUGAGUAUAGCGACGAAUGUUCUGUGCCAGACUUUAGCUUUACUACUGUAUUUUUUUUUGCAAUUGAUCAUCUCACGAAUUUCAGACUACUGUGUCAGGGAUGCUAUGAAAAGUUCAUUAAUUAUUAGACAACAUGUUGAGCCUAAACAAGUAAUCAUAGUACAAGGAACAAGAGAUUAGAACAACAAGGCUAGAUAUCCUCAUGAAAAUAGUAGCAAUAAGAGAUUGCAGCAAUGAACAUUGAAUGGCCAAAUACGUCUUUUUAGGUUCAUAUAUAAUCACUUAUUUUCUAUACUUGUUGUAUGAAAUUAGAAUUGAUUGGCUCUCUGCUUUCUUCAGAAAUUCAACUAUUCAAGUGUCUUGUUCUUUCUAGAUUGUUAUGCAAACCUAGGUAACUGAUAUGCAAACCUGUGAUACUUUCUUCUUGAUCAGUAGAGAAAGAUAUGUUAUUUGAAGUUCCUCUUUCAGAAAUCAUGUAGAAACUUUCUGUUAUUUCUAGAUUGCUUAUACUUGUUUUGAAUUUCAUUGCUUAAUCACUUUUUUCAGUAUAAGAGAAAGAGGUGGAGUAUCCGAAUGUUAUAUAUAAACUAGCAAUGUGGGCUUAGGCUAAGCUUUUGAUAGGGGAUGCAGAUAUAUUAAAAGUUUGCUGGAUAGCAAGCUUUGCGACGUUUGCAAUUUUAUGCUGGAAAGAAAGAGAGAUGAAGGUACUCCAACAUCACAACAUGUCACUCCGAGGAAAAAUUAAAGAGUUUGGUUUUCCGCCCUAACAUGUGUUUUAGAGGUCUCAGGUCCUCUGUCUUAUUUUGGACUAGCUUUUGCCUGUUACACGGAGCUUGAUCCAAAUAAUCAUCCCACAAAAAAAAAAUUGGAAAACGAGAGAUGAACCUGAUGUAGAUGCAAAUCCCGCAGAAGGGGAACGGAGGGAUGUAAUUUUGAAUAAUCGGUCUAUAAAUGCAAUUGCAGCAAAAGCGAUACUCAUACAUCUGGAUUAUGAAUAUGUUGCAGCUGCCAAUGCACAAAAAGUGGCAGUACACAGGGAUGAUGUAGGGAGUCAAUUGUUGUUGCAUAUCCAGCAGGAGUGGCAUUACUGAUCGAUGAUGUGGAAAAUUAAUCAUAUGCAGAUGGGAAUCGACUAGAAGUGGCACUACAAAUGGACGCUGAGAAUCACUGUUGCAGACGAGGUAAUACAGAUUGAUGAUGCGGAAAAUAUACUACAAAUGGAUGCUGAGAAUCUCUUUGCUGCAUAAGUGAGCGUUGGUACAAAUUCAGAAUAUCUGGUUCCAGCAGUCUCAUUAAUGCACAUGCUAUAUGACCCGAGUUCUGGCUAUUCAGAGUAAAUAUUUUUGCACCACAACAAUUAGAAGAAGGGUAUUUGUUUAUAUGAUUUUUUUGAAAUUCUGUCUGAAUAUACAUCUAUUUUCUACCCUGUUUGAUACAAGUUGAGGAUCCUACACCGCUACACGGCUCAAAGUUGGUAGAUUUUGAAUGCUCUCGCUACUGUAAUUUUUGUGCGAGUAUCUUACAAAAUUCAGACUCCUCUCUCUGUCAAGGAGGCGAUGAAAAGUUCUCAAAUUACUAGAUUAUAC